GUAGGGAAUAUUGGGCAAUGGUCGGAAGACUGACCCAGCCAUGCCGCGUGCAGGAAGACGGCCCUCUGGGUUGUAAACUGCUUUUAUCUGGGAAGAAAAAGGCCAUGCGUGGCAAAUUGCCGGUACCAGAUGAAUAAGCACCGGCUAACUCCGUGCCAGCAGCCGCGGUAAUACGGAGGGUGCGAGCGUUGUCCGGAUUUAUUGGGUUUAAAGGGUGCGUAGGCGGCUGAUUAAGUCAGCGGUGAAAGACUUCGGCUUAACCGGAGCAGUGCCGUUGAUACUGGUUGGCUUGAGUGUCGGAGGGGUACAUGGAAUUGAUGGUGUAGCGGUGAAAUGCAUAGUUACCAUCAGGAACACCGAUAGCGAAGGCAUUGUACUGGCCGACAACUGACGCUGAUGCACGAAAGUGUGGGGAUCGAACAGGAUUAGAUACCCUAGUAGUCC
Molecule: ribosomal RNA, 444 nt
Filed under: uncultured bacterium
Lineage: Bacteria
Description: partial 16S ribosomal RNA
Rfam family: Bacterial small subunit ribosomal RNA
Source: RNAcentral